This is an RNA transcript of Humulus lupulus (European hop), 3496 nucleotides long. RefSeq lists it as uncharacterized. The record is from RefSeq and is a predicted model, not a curated record. The transcript has 10 exons. NCBI's taxonomy places the organism in Eukaryota, Viridiplantae, Streptophyta, Magnoliopsida, Rosales, Cannabaceae.
CCGAAAAUUUUGAACUGAUUCGGUACACUUUUUUCCUCCAAAACCCGCAAAAUCUGAACCAGAUGCACCCGGCCCAUGUGCACCCCUAAAAAAUACUAGACUUUGGGGAUCUAGUUACAAACACAUAAAGAUUGGGACUUAAGAGCAGGUUGAGGUUUUUAUGGUCCGUGGGCUGGUCGUACUGAUUUCCAGAGUAUGAGUAUGGAGGAAGGACCAUCCUCCCCAGGAACAUCAGCGGUAGAGCUAAGAGACUGCAUGGAAGAACUCCUCAAGUUCACACUGGAGUCCCCCAUCGAUUUGGGCUUUUCUCCCAGCCUUCUUCUCCGUUCCCACCCCCAAAUCACUCCAGAAACCCCAGAUCCUUUUUACAAGCGCUUAGCAUCAGUUUUGUGUGAGUGCAUCGAUUCCGGAGGAUUGGGGGACCUGAAGAAUAAGGAAGAGUGGAAUGAGUUGGUGCAGGAAAAGGGUUUCGAACUUCUUAAUAUUUUGAAGACUGUUGAUUUUGAACUUCAUGUUCAAGAGCCUUUCUUUACACAACUAAGAGUUGGCUUAAAGACAGUUGAAGGAAGGUGUGCUGUUGGUGACUACAAUCGGCUAAGAUCUAAAAUGCAGUUUGAUUUGCUUCAACUGUCAAGUUCUGGCAGCAUUUUACAUGAGAGCAGGACCAUAAACGUUCGUAGAUAUGCUUCAUUCUAUGAAAUGUUAGAAGCAGAGAGUCUUGCAAAAGUCCUCCCCGGAGUGAAAACCAUUCAAGAAGGUGUCCAAGUUUACAGGAAGUUUUAUAGUGAGGAGCAAGAACAACAAAACGGCGUCCUUGCAAUACAUGUUACAAAGCCGGCCUCACAGCUAUAUAUUCCUUUGGCUCAGAUACUCUCGAAAGAACUUGUCCUCGAGAUGUGUUGGAAAGUUGGAAUUCGUCUGGUGCGUGGUAUUCAGAAAUUUCGGAGAUGUUGAAUGUUGGAGAGAUGCGAAGGUGAGAUGGAAUGCCUAGGAGGUAAGCAUUAUCAUUGAUUUUCUUUAGAAUUUGACAGGGACCAAAUUUCCUAUCAUGGAAUUUGCUGCAGACUCCAGCAGGGGAUCGACUCUUGCGCAAAUAAACCAUAACCAAAUCUCCUUCUUGGAACUCUUUGAAUCUCCUCUUAGUGUCUGCAGUUGUUUUGUACUUGUCGUUGGCUUGUUGCAAAUGUUGAAUCACCUCCAAAUGAAUACGGGUGAUUUUAUCUGCUGCUAGUUCAACCUCUUGCUGCAGUCCCGGUAUUGGGAGUAGUUUUACCAAGUCGGGGUCAUUUUAGGAGGACUUAGAUACACAAUCUCCAAUGGUGACUAACCAGUAGAGUAGUUUUGCAUAUUGUUGAAUGCAAAUUCAGCUUGUGCUAAAGCAACAUCCCAUUGUUUUGGAUGGGAACCACUGAUGCAUCGAACAAGGUUGCAAAGAAUAUGGUUGGUAACUUCAGUUUGGCCAUCCGUUUGUGUGUGGCUGGUGGUGCUAAAGCAGAGCUCUGUAGUGACUUUCUUCCAUAGUGUAUGUAGCGUUCCAAAACUCCUAAUAAGGAUUAGUAUGGUGAUUGGUGAGCCUGAAGGGUAUUUGAUUUUAAUCGAAUAUGUGUGAUUAUGUGUAUUAUAUGAGUUAUAUUAUGAUAUGAAUGUUUAUGUAUGUUUACGUGUAUUAUAUGUGCUUAAAGACCAACUUUUGUUAUAAAAUGACAUUUUAGUAAUUUUGACUUGUCAAUGGUAUAAUUAUAAUUUUGUAUGCUAGGUGUUUGAGAACACAUUAUUAUGUGAAUAUAUUUGAGAUAUUCGGCACGAGUCGAUCCUUUUAGGCAAAUUAGCGAAAAAGUCACAACGGGGAUAAAUACCCAGCUCGGGGUGAGCCUAGGAGUAAUUUGGCAAAACUACCGGGAUUUAUUGGUAAAUGGGAUUAAUUGGGAGAAUAAUUGGAAUUAAUGAUUUAACUUGGAAUUAGUGGUGAAAUUUGAGGUUUAGGGUAAUGUAGGUGAAAUGACCAAAAUGCCCUUAAAGUUUGGUUUGGAGGACAAAUUAAGGGUAAGGGAAAAAUGGUAUUUUUGACCAUUAGACUAAGUAAAGAUUCAAUAGGCUGAGUACUCUGGGACAUUCACAUGUAUGCUCUCUCCCUCUCACCUAGUUCCUUCUUGAAAGGCGUUUUGAAGUUGGAGCAUAUCUAAGCUAAGUUAAGGGGAUUUCUUUUGAUGCAUCUAGGGAGUUCUAGUGGAGAAAUGAAGUUGAUUGAAGGUAGGAGCUGCUAAGGGAUCAUCAAGAAGCUGGGGAUUUUGAAUUCAUCACCGAGGUAUGGAUCACUGAAGCUUGUUUCAUAUGUUCUUCAUAGUUCUUGAGGAAAUUUGUGGGUCUUGAAUGAAAUUCUAAAUUCUGGGCUUCUAGAGGGUUUGUGUAAGUCUAAUGGUGUAAAAACUGCUUAAGCUAUCGAUUUUAAGAUUGUAUUAGGUCUGAAUUUUGGGUUUGGCUGUUGAAUUCUUGAAUUGGAGAAAAGCUUGAGUUUCAAAAACUCAAAGUGAUGAUUUUGGGAUUUUUGUGUCUUUGAACGUUCUGAUAUUGUUUUUGUGUUCUUUGGCACUUGGGUAACUUAUAUUUGGGUCAAGAUUUCGUUAAAAUCUGGUUGGAAACUUGAAUUGAUGAGUUUUGUUGGUCUUAGGUCGGUUAGGGGUGGUUUUGGGUGGGAGAAAUCGCAGAAAAAGAAACCCAAAAUUCUGGGUUUGUGUGGUGGCACCCCUGCGCUGAAGCAGGAGAAUUUUCGGUGUCUCUGUUGCUUCUGGGUGUAGCAAUGCUAGGGGGUGGUGCCCCUGUGCUAGUGCAACUUCAAGAUAUGUUUUUUUUUUUUAGUUUUGAGAAAAUCUUGGGGGCUCGGGGGACGAUUCCAUCACACGAAUUGAUGGAAUUGGAAGUCCCGAGAGCUUGAGAAUAGUUGUGGAAUCCGUAUUCGAGAUUAGUUCUUAAUGAAGAUAUUGUUUAUAUUGUGACUAGGAUUACUGCAAGGCUCGGGAAAGGUAUUGUGCUUGGGGUCAUAUCACUACUUGCACAAGACUUGAGGUAAGGGCAAAGGUAAACUAGACCAGCCAUGAGUUGGAGAGCUCUGGGGGCGACGUGUACAUACUCAGUUUGCUCGACCACCACUGCCGUGAUUAUUUUGAAGGCUAGGGUUGAGUUCAGUUUUGCCUCUUAGAUGGUGUAGGAAAAUGAGCAUGGAAGGCGGGUUGAAUUCGUGGCAGCUUGGCAUGUGUAUUAGGGAUGGACUGAUUGAAUGGACUGCUGGAAGAUCGAGGAUGAAGUUAUUUUAAGUCUUUAAUUUAUGUAUUUAUUUUCCACAUAUAGUUUUGGACAAUUAAUUAAAGAUUAUGUUUUCUUUAUGUUUUUAUGUAUUAACAAUGGGAUCCCAUAUCGUAUUUUGGAUUUUUGAUAAAGUUCUAAUAUUUUAUGUAUAUAUGUAUUCCAAAUUAGUAGUUAUAUUUAUUAGUUUUUAAUA